GAAGACACCUUAGGGCUCAAGCCUCAUUUUGCAAUUACAGUAUAAAAAAUUAAGUGCGCGUAUAACGUUUGUGAAUUUUCACCACUGAAAUCUUUGAAAAGAACACAUAAAACAUCAGCUGCAUUCCUACUUAAAACAUUAUUCUGAAUAUUACUGUGAUAAUACACUGUCUUAGCAGCACGGCUUUGGCAAACAGAGAAGCUAUAUGCCUUCCUUUUCCUCUGAAGUGUGUAGACCAAACUUCUCAUUGCUUUCCUUGCAAUGCAUACAUGGUAAGUUUGUUAAAGUGAGAGCUGUUUCUUUGUGGGCUUGUGCAGUAUUUAGUACAAAGAAUGUUGAAAAGUAUUUGAGACAUCUGUACUCUGCUUCUAGGAAUGUAAAUUAUAAAUGGUAACUGACAUAUCUAAAACAAGUAUACUGUAGAAGGUAAUUACAGAGAGAAUAACAAAUUCAAUUUAGAAUUGUAACUUUUCUUUGUGUUGUAACAAUUAUUUUCAAGUGCUUUGCUAGCUGGGAGGGUUCACAUCAUCUUCAGGAUCCAAAUUUUCCGUGCACUAUAAGAUAAAAGUACCAGAGAGUAAUAUUCAUAAAGACUGAAACUUGCUGGAGGAGAAAGUGGAGGAAGCUGUCCAGAUCAUGAAUAUUAAUCAAUGAGGAAGGGUCAUGCCUUUAUUCCCAUCCCUCAGUUAGGAGUUCCUGAUUGCUGCAUUUCAACCGAGUGAGAUACUUAAACUGUAGUACAUUGUCAGAAAGGCAUUGAAGGAAAUCUGUUUCCUCACCUGCUAAUAAAAGGACUCCAUUCAGUUCUGCAGAAGUAGUUACUGAACUGAAGAACUGGAGCCUGGUUGUAUUUGCUGCAUCCCUUAGAAAAUAUCCUAAAACUGUGGGCAACAGGGUAUGCAUUUCAUAUUUUCUUUAGUUCAUUCAUUGUUUAGUGUGUAGUAAAAGUCAUAUCUUUUAUGCAAUUUGACGAAUUGAAAUAACUGCCAUCAUAACUGAGUUUUCUAUGUGGUUUAGAUACUUUUCAACACUGUUCUAGUGCUGUCAUAGAAAAUGAACACACGAAUUGCUCAUUUAAAAAAAAAAACAAUCAAGAAAAACAGGCAUCAUUGCUCUAAAGGAAUUCCAAAGACUCUGAAAGAAACACUUUUUUUGGAUUUAACAAAAAAUGAUAUGAGUGGGAGUUCUGAGUCAGAGUGCAUGUGUUAGUUUCACAUUGUUCUUUAAAAAUUCUUCCUCUUAAAUUUACAAAUGGUAUUCCACUUUCUGACAGAAGUAUGGAUACCUGAACAGUGGUCUGAGGAAAACAUAUAGAACCAAAUGCAAAUUUCUGUUCCAGUGCCCUUCUGGGAAUAGGCUUAUUAAGGGAAAUUAAGAACUCAUUUUAUGGAAAGAAAAGCAUUUGCAAUAAACUGAAAUGAAAAUUGAUGGUAGCAUUUUCUUCACUUAGUAGCAUUCUGGUGAGUGGGCUGGAGACUGUGAUUCCUAAAAGUGAAUAGUAGCUAAUAUGGGUGAAUUGUAACUGAGACUGUUUUUUUCUAGGUUUUUGGAAGGGCAAAUAUUCAUACAAGUAAAUAGUUUGGCACAGCCCUCAGUGUGCAUGCAUGAAAGUGCUAGUUAAUACUAUCAAAAUUUGACAUUUUGGUUUUUUCUGGUUUUUUAUGGAUCUUGCCUGUUCUGCAGCUGUUCUUUAUUAUACAAGAUGACUAGAAGGUGAAAUAUAAACAUGAAGAAGAACAGAAUAGUAGUACUAUCUUACCUGCUUGUUUGAUUUUCCAAGUUUCAUAUAUCAACCCUUGCAGUGAGUAUAAGUCUUUGCAGUACAAAGUCAGUGCAAGAGCAGUUCAAGGUAACAUUAGACCUAUUAAUAGGCCCAGUAGGCUGGUGUUAGUCACAGAAGUCAUAAACCAUCAGGCUUCUGUUAUUACUGACUAUGGUCUUAUUGUAUGUUAAAAACCAUCUAAGUCUUUCCAGAUCUGCAAAUACAAUAGCUAAAAGUAGGGAACAGGGGAGAGGUGCCUAGCUUUUUACAGAAGGGCUUGCAGAAUAAAAAUUUCUGAUGACAAAUUAUUCCAUGCCAACUUCUCUUAUUGUGAAGAUUCUUAUAUGGAAUUUUGAAAGGUAGUUUUCCUUUAUUUUAUAUUGUGCUACAAAAUAAAACUCCAUAGCUCUACAUGAGAAUUAAGUGUUUGCCUGUGACCUUGUUCUUCACAUUCACCUGCUCAAAACCCACGCUACAGAUAGAAGUUGCUGGAAGCCCUCCAAGUAAACUAAUAAAAACUCUUACUUGAGGAAGUGGGAGAGGGAAUGAGCAGAAGGAGUCAGCUUGAAUGUUUCUUCAGUACAAUCUGCAAUGUGCAAGUCUGUGGUCUUGAAGAAAAUAAGCACAUUAAUACUCUAAAGAGCUAGGUGGGGAAUAAUUUCCAUUUUCUUCAUUGAAAUGAAGAGCCUCUUGAACUAGUAGCUUAUAAAAUAUGGGGGGGAAAUGUUAAUACCUUCACAGACAUGAUGUAAUUAUGGGGGCUUCUUCAAAUGAACUAUUUCUAAAAUGAUACAGUUGGUUCUUACUUUGCAAAUCCUCUUCAAAACCACUAUCAGUGUCAGUCAAAGAGUAUUCAAAUCAAGCUGAAAAUGAUCUCAGUUUGUGGUUCUGAGAUAUCCAUAGUAAUUCCAAGUACUGGAGUGCCUGGUGUUUUUUCUUUCUUUGACAAGGAGAGAGUCUUGCUGAGUGGGGUUGGAAAGAGAACCUGGGAAGAGUUUCACUUCAUUGUUUCAAUUUGCAUUAGAUAAAAUGGGCGUCCCAGAUGUCUUUUUAAGGAGACAGACACUGGAACUUUAAAACUUCAUUUUCUUUCUUUCCGGGAAGACAAUUUUAAGCUUUGAACUCCAACAUUCUUAAAUAAUAAUAAUGGGCAUAGAGAUGAGGGUGACUUUUUUAAAUUCCCAAAAAGAUGGGAAAAUUAAGCAUUUGCAGCAGUACCUAGAGAUCUAGCUGAAAUGAGGAUUUUUGUAAUUCUGUAUACUCUUUGUACAUAUGAGACAGACAUUCCUACUCAGAUAGAACCUAAGCAGACAAUAAGACAAAAGGGGAAGCGAAACACUAGGUAUUAGCUUGAAGUUUAGGACUAGAAUUUCUCAGCAAAUUAAGUUUGUAUCAGACUGGGGAGCUGAAUCCUGCCCAGUGACUCAAUCACAAGAACAACGCUACAAAACUUAAGGGAAGGAAUCAGAUGGGUAACCUUCCAGAGCUUCAAAUAAAUAUCAGAUUAUAAUUCCAACUCUGCGUUUCUUAUUCAGACUAACUCCCUAAUCCAAACCCCUUGAGAAUCUCUCUACCUUUUUAAUGCACCCAUCAGUACAUAUUCCAAACAGCGUGUAUUCAGCAGACAAUGGUGAUUGUUGUGGUGGGUGGCAAAAUAUGCAGUGGGUUGCAGUAGCAACGAUUACAUCCUGUAUCUCUUUAAUAUAAUGCGUGGUUCAUAUUUCAAAAACUGUUUAUAGUUAGAGAGUAAAAUAUGACUUUGAUUAAUAUUUACAUCCAAUCUAAUGCCUUCAUUUGUUCCAUUGUCUCAUUUUAAGCACUUGUAUGCAAAAGAUUCUGAUGUUAUGUCAGCUGAAGCUUAGCAACUGCUAUUAUUGAUUAUAGCCUUGAUGGAAACUUCUCAGCAGUUUACAGUAUUUUGUUAGGAUAUUUGAAGAGACAUAAAGUAUUAUUAUAAAGAAGCAAAGCUAGGUUUGGCAAAGAGCCUUUCUUUUGUCUGUGAAACUCUCUUCAGUAAAUUUAGAACAGAAGGACUUUUCUCUGGAGUGAAAAAUAUAUGUAUUGCUGGCUACAAGCGUAAGUUUGCUGCUUCACCAAUUUAGAAUUAGAUGAUGGACUUAUUUAGUAGACAUUGGAUAGUAAAAAGUAAAGCCCAUAAUUUAAAACGUUCCACAUUACCACAUUCCAAGAAAAACAUGGCCCGGUGAACAAAACCAGCAGUAUUGUAAUAAGAAAACAACUAGGUGCAUUUUUUCCAAAACCUAAACCCAGAAAUCUAAAUGCAUGAGUUACUGGCUAAAAAUGCCAUUUUCAUGUCUCCAUUUCUUCGUGGACUGAAAGAAAAAAAAAACCAAAUUGAGAAAAAAAGAUGUAAUACUCCAGGUGAAGAUUCAGAAUGCUGCUGUAAUGUUACAAUCUUUUUUGAAUCUUAAUGUUGCUUCUUUAAUUUUAAAAAUAGGCUUUUUUUUUCUUUAUAGGAGAUAUAUUGUUACAACAAUUUUGUUUUUGUUUGCUUUGUUUUAAAUGUAAGAUUUUUUUUAAGGAAGUGUAGUAAUUACUGUAUCAGAAGGAUUUCUGUCAUUGCAUUUCCUGCACUGGCUUUGCUACUGAAUCUAGGAAAAGGGUCAAUUUUCACACGAACUACAGAAGACAACUGUUGACAUGUAACAUUCACUGUAUUAAAGCAUGCUGCAUGAGUUCCCCUCUUAUUGAUAUCCCUUUCUGAUUGCUAUAUGCUGCUAAGUACUAAUCGUAAGUCAUAACUAUGCAUCUAAGUUACACCUAUGCUAAGUGAGUAGCACAGUCUAAAAUUCCAGUCCAAUUCUCUAAAAGAGCAGCUUGAUUUAAGUUACUGGAUCAUAAUUUCACUGGUUGAAAUUGAGACUGGAAGAUGGUGGGAAGACAGACAGAAGAGAAAAGUGUUAGCCAGAUGCUUGAAUCCCUGAUCUUCUGAAGUGUUGAAGCAACUUUGCUUGGGUGUUCUAAAGGGUUUUUUUCAGGACAAGAGAAUCUGUAUCUAUACAAGAGGAUGGACAUUACUACAUAGAUACCUGUUCAAAUUAAAGGAAGCCCCUGAAAAUGAAACCAGAAAAAAAAAACACAUUAUGAGGAAGAUAAGGCAUAUAUAGGCAAGAUACAGGGAAUCUGAAAUGUGAUUUUCUCAUCAUGCUUGACUUGAAUGUGCUGCCUUUUGUAGCUUACCCUCUGUUGAACAUGUAAUUAAGGAAUUGAAAUCUGAGAGAUGGAUCAGAGGUGGAUUACAGAUACAGAUGUCAAUAGGAUAAAGGAUGUAGAUGCCAGGAAUUGCUGCUGUGUCCACAAGACUCUACUGCUGCUUCUGUCUCUCUGAAGGAAAUGUUUCUUUCACUUACCCUUGUGCAAAAAUCAAGAGACCUGCCUUCUACAGGAAGACUUCCUUCCUGUAGAAACCUCAUUCCUCUCAAUAAUGAAACCACCAGCUGCUUUCUAAAGAACUAUUUUUCUUCUGUCUCAUCUUUAAGAGGACUGAAAUGCUACUCAAUUGUUUGUACAUGUAUACGAAGCUGCUGUUAUGUACUGUCCCUAAAAUUUCAUAGCCACUUUCCAGUGAUAGCAAUGUUCCAGACUUCAUAUUUAGCUAUUUUCUAACAGUAGGGAGGAGAUUAUUUUUAAAUAUUAUUAGUUUUGAUGGGGUGAGGGGCAAAGGCAAUUUCUGUAUGCUGGAUAUGCUCAGCUGUUUGAUCUCUUGCUGUUCAUGGAUAGUCAAAUAUUAAUCAGAAGAACAUGGCGUGUAAUGACAAAGUUGAUUGUACUUUUAUUUUAUAUCUUCUAUCUCCUAACUGUGCACAGUGUUUUGUACAAUUCUACGAUGGACCUAAAAAUAGCACCAAAAUGUGUGUGUCAAAUGCAUCUCCCUUAAGAGAUUUGAUGUGAAUACUCCAUUAUGUGCCCUGAUCUCCAUUGCCUGAAGGACAAGAAGUUUAGUUCUUGAAUCAACUUUGUGUGUAAAAAUUUGAGUUCAUGUAUAAAGCAGAAAUAUUAUGGCUGUUCAGAACCAAUGGGUGGUAGGCAUUAAGAGAAAGUUUCAAUUCAUAAGUUCAACCUUUACCCUCUUCUCAUUUCUUUCUGUUCUGGUUUCACCUUAAUUUAUAUGUGCUUUAUUUGACUUCCCUUCUUCCUUCUCCUUUCACUGACUCCUAAGCAGAAGAUGGAACAAGGUAAGCUGUUUCAGUUUGGAACAACGUUUUUAAAGUCUGGUGUUCAGUUUUUUUGAAAUUAGGAAAGAUUGUUACAAAAAAAGAUGAAAGCAUUUUUUAUUCAGCAGGUUAUUGUUAUAAGGAGUGCAUCUGCAGUUGAUAUCCUUCUAAGUGCUGUGAUUAUUCUAUGCAGUUGCUAGGAAAAUUGAACUGUAAAACACACCAGAAGGCUUACAGCACUAGGCUGUAUUUGAAAUAUAUUAUACUAAAAGACUAUCCUCAAAAGGAGAGAAAGAAAUUCAAUCCAUGGAGUCCAGAUAGGUGGGAAAGCCUACAAGGGAAAGUUGUGUUUAAAAAAAAAAAAAAGUGUGAAGCCAACAAAAGGCAUUUCUGCUCUUGGCUGAAGAAACUCUUACGUUCUUCGUAUGACAAUUGAAUAUAACAAGAAGCUGUGUUAUUGACUGAACGAUAAAUCCUUUGUGAGACAUAGGAGCUCACUGAACAUUACUCCUGCUUUUCCCCUUGAUUAACUGUGCUGUGGUUUUACGAGUUACAAGCAAAAUGUGCACCUCAAGUCACGCACUCUUAAAUAACCCAGCAAUAUAAUCUAUUUAGAGAAGGCUUGAAGCAUUUUUCAGAACAAGUGCAUCAUUUUUAAAGUUUUUCCAUGGGGAAUUAUUUGUAAAAAUAUGUAUCUUUUGGGAUUUGUACCAGGAUAUUUCUUAAUUAUUGCUGACAUGUCGCCCAUAACACCAUAAGCUCCCUCAAAGGGCAGGAAAAAAAGAAUCAUUCUCCCUUAAUCACCAUGUAUAAACCAAAUAAAUUUAGCAACAACCUCGUGCUAUUGAAGCAACAAAUUGAUGCCUUCAGAGUUCCCUAAUGACUUAAAUAUUAAAAAUAAUAUUAAAAAUCAAAUGAGAAAAAAGAACAAAAACAAACAAAAAAAACCCUGCACAUUUCCAGGAUGGAAACAUCAACUUUUUAGAGCUACUCACUGGCACAGAGACCUGCAGAACAUAAGUGACCAAAGAUUGUCUAGUCAGUCAGCUAAGCAUAUGAGAUGUGGAAGGAGGUAAAAUGAAUUGGAAAGGUAGUAAAUGAAGCUUUCAUGGAGUCAGGAUCAAGGGUCCAGUUCUUAAUAUAUAGAAUAACAUCUAAAAACAUGAGUUGUUAUGUUGAACAGGACUAAUAAAAUAAAGACUAAAAGCUAAGUUUUUCUACAAAGAAUUAGUAGAGAGCAUUCAGUGUGAUACACAUCAUCUGCAACUUACUGUACAAUGACUCCUCCCGAUAGCCAAACCAUGCUAAAUCAAGUAUGGCAUGUAACUAUUUAAAGGCUAGGACUUCACACAAUGGCUGUAUUUGGUACUCCAGAUUCCCUGCUGCAGUAAACUUAAGUAUUUCUGAAAAAACUCCUCUGAGAAGCUUAAAUGAGAAAAGUCUCUUUUUCUACCUGGUUUAUAAUGUUUAUAUAUAUUAUAUAUAUUUCUAAAUCACAUUCUUGAACCUUAGUGCCCAGAUGUUUACUAGCCUUUCAGAACUCAACAGAAUAGCAACAAGUAGUUUCAUCCUUUUCAUAUAUAUAAUUUUCAAAGUUCUCAAGAUGUAUCCUAAGCAAAUUUUGGCAUUCUUGUUCUACAAAAAAUAGGACCUGAAAAACAAUGCUACAUCCACUUGACCGUGAUUGCUGAGGGCCAAGCAUUUGAAAAAGUUUUUGUAUACAGAAUUAUGUGGGAGAUACUGGACAGUACCCAGAGUACAAACGAGUACUGCAUGUCAUUCUCAGAACUAGAGGCUAUCAUUAAAAUAUAGAGACUCACCUUUAUCUCAAUGUUCCCUGGAGUUGCCAGCAUGUACAGUAAGAGAGCUGGCAAAUCAAGCUCUUCUUCAGCUUCAAAAGCCUUUAAAAAAAUCUCUGUUUAUUGUCCAAUAAAGUUUAUAACUAUAUGCUGUUAAAACGUACUUAAGUAAGGCCUGACAUGACUAAAGUCUAAUUUACAACCCUUGCUCUUUCUUCUUUUUGAAGAAAAUGAAUAAUAGCUUGGUGUUACAAUGCCCCAAACUAACAGGUUUUUUUGUUGAUACCCAACUUUGUAAGCAUGAUAACUUGCGCGUAGGUGGAAAGUGCUCUUGUGAUUCUGGGUAUUUGAUCUGGCAAACUUAUAAAUAACUGCAAGUUUGUGCCUUGAUAGCUUGAUUUUAAGGAUCUUGAACAAUAUAAGAACAUAACCGUCAGACAACGUGAGCAUGACUCUGAAAUUUUUCUCAGAUGACACACCACAUUGAUACGAGGCUAAGGAGUUGAAUUUUGGAAGCUUGAAGCAAACAUACAUCCUAAAGAAAAAAAGCAUAGCAGUAUUUAGAACUUCUGCUAAAAAAAAAAAAAAAAAGUCUUUUGCCAGUUCUGGAAGACAGCAUCACUAAUCCCUUUCUCUUCAUUAAAGAAUCAACAAGUUGCAAUUGCAAGUAGUAGUCAUACCCUAUCUGACACCAGAACAAAGAAAAAGGUAGAAAAUACUUGAUCGUUCAACUCUGAAUUCUUUCUAUUGAAGCAUGAAGGAUCUUUGUGUCUCACUGUAGCUUGGAAGAUUUGAUUAAUUAUUAAAAACACUGCCUGUCAAGAUACCGUUACCACAGACAGCACAGAAGCCAAAAGCCUGCACCAUUACCAAAAAGUAGUUUGAACUGACAAACAUUACUGAAUGCACAGUUCUAUAGCAUAUCUUAUAGAGGCUCUGGUUCAGGUCAGGAGACAGCUGCUCAACAGCCAGACCCCAAAGAGUACAGCAAGAUAAAUAUAAACCACCUAUACUUUAUAUAAUACUUACAGAUUCUUAAAAUAGUGGAAGAAAAAAAAAAAGCCAUUAAUUCUAUUCAGUAUUUGUGAUUAUAUCUAUAAAUUAAGCCAUCCAGUCUACGAAAGUCGAGUGUUUAUUUCUCUGAGGUCUUUCCACAUGCACUUCAGUGUUACCUAUUUUGUCUAACCUUUUUGUAAAUUCACUGUCUCAGAAAUUUAAUAUCCCACUCAUCUUGAUUUGAUCGUCUCUUUGUUCACUCCAGUUAUAUCUCACUUUUCAUUCAAGUACAUAUGUUUUUAAUUGAACAAUCUUGUUACAUGUUGUUAGGAAAUAGACCAACUAUCCCCAAGGAUCCAUUCUGGGAAUCUUGAGAACCAGCCUUAGACAGGAAUUCUCAUUCCUUUACCAGUUUUAGAUUUUUUUAAUUAUUAUUUUUUAUUUUUUUAUUUCUUAAGAAAAAAAACACCCUAUCUAACCAUAUUUAACUAGACAAAUAAUCCUACAGACCAAAAACGUCCCAGGGCUUGUGCUACUGUUUCAUAUCACAGGGGAGCUAGGCCUACUGCCAACCUUAACGCAGUUUGUAUUAGAAAUCUAAAACCUCUCAGAUGUAUUAAGAAUCCUGUGCUAGAACUUGGCUUAAUUCCUGAUAGUUAUUCUACUACACUUUAGUGUGGAAAAGGCUGCUGUUUUAGCUUGUCACUGUCACCAAAAAUCUCAACAGCCAAUGACAUUUCACUAAAGCAGUUACUGAAGCUGUAUUAUUGCCCCCUGACCGGUAGUGCUUACUACUGAAAAGCUGAAGGUCUUUUGCCACAGAAUCAGAACUUCAUGUAUUUCCUGGAAUAUACCACAGUUAUAUCUUUUGUUUGUUUGUUUGUUUUUUCCUCUAAGCUUGUGGAAAUAGACACAACUAAUAACUGUUGGCAAAUAUCAUUAGCAUCUCCGCAAGGAAUACAACAUAUGACAAUUAGUGACCAGUCCAGCAGAGGUGUUGGCUCUUUGCAUUGUUACAGCUCUUCUGAAUCUGGAUUGCAUGAGGAGCAUAAAGGACCAUUCUGCACGUCUGCUUUCCAGAUAGAUUGCUUAGUUCCCAUUUCUUUUCUAAGCUGUACAUUAUUACUACUACAUCUAAAGCCAACAUUUCUGUGACUUCAGAACAAAUUGGAUUGAUUCUAGAAGCUUUUUGGCUUUAUGUAUUUGCUAAAUUGGCACAUGCUGCAUCUGUGCUACUUGAAUUAACAGAACUGUUCAUAUUUUACUGCAGAUUACUGGCAAAUUUUCCUUUAUUAUUUGCAAAUGGGUACUCUGUGUAGUGUGUGAGUCAGUCAACUCCUAUCCAUUUUUAAUAGGUAUAUUAAAACAUGAUGAUAUGAUGAGAUAUUUUAUUAUAUAAAUAGUGAUUUGACCAUCCUGAGAAAGUAUAUAAAAUGCCCUUUUAUAUCUGACAGCAGGUAUUUUUAAGUGCUAUAAAUAGUUAAACGUAAAAUAGGACUUUCCAUUAUUGUUCUCAUUUGGACUGCGUAGUCAGUCCUUAACCACCUUUAUGUUCAAAGCUGAACUGCAGGAAAACCAGUGACUAAAGUUCUACAUGUAGAAACAUAAUACCUAGAGUCUGCACCCG
RNAcentral lists this long non-coding RNA (10359 nucleotides) under Gallus gallus (chicken). The record is from RNAcentral. Lineage: Eukaryota; Metazoa; Chordata; Aves; Galliformes; Phasianidae.